CUUAAGCUCCCUCUAGCGGAAUAAGUGGCAUUUCAUCCCAGUAUUCUCCCAAACGUCCGUUUCUAGCCAUAUUUGACUCUUAUUUUGAUGUUUCAAGUAAAUCUUGAAACCGGAAGUGCAGUGAACACUUCAAAAUAAAUGCACUACUUGUAGGACCUGCCGUAGUAUGAAUGGGAUUUAUCCUUAGCAAUAUUUUUUUCUUUAUUUUAACAACAAAAAUAAAUUGGUUCACCUUCGUUACAAUACAUAUUUUUUGUAUUAGGCAAUAAGAACAUGUUUCUGACACCAAACGAUGCCAACUUGCAGCAAAAGGUGUCUUAAGAGUGAACAUCUCGCGACAGGAGCUCAAUAUUUCAGCCUGUUGCUCGUCGUAUACUAAAAAAGUGUUCCAAUAAUAAACACUUCGCUGUGGUCACGGGCUGUAUGCAUUUAUAUUCUUAGCAGGAAUGUGAAUAGCCUCGCUUCUAACUUGUGGUGUCAUGUUUGUUUACAUACAUGCGUAGCGUCGGUGUUGAAGCGCGCUCCAGUGAGGAGGAGCGCGCACGCUGCGUCGAGGCUGCGUCACAGGUUUACAACCACGACGUCACCCUGCCCGCUGACUUCGUGCUUCCGGUGUUAUGGCCGCCUGCAUGGAAGGGGAGAGUUAUGUGUUAUUUGUGUGGAUAAACGUGUAGUUAGCCGGGUGAAGAUGGCGGUGACACGGCUGGUUCGGUUGGUCGCUUGUGGCUCGGCGGCCCGCGGGACUUUCCGCGGUUACAGCAAGGUGUCACCAUCUUCAUCUGAGCGUCUGCUUGUUUUUGAGUCUUUAAAGGCCAAAGGAGCUCAUCAAAGAGUCGCAGAAAAGCCUCUCAGCAUCCAUGUGGGCGAUGGCCGGACGAUAAAGGGAACGGCAAGUGUGACCACGCCUCUCGCAGUUGCACAAAGUGUGCGGAUAAAAGGGGCUCUGGUGAGUAAAGUGAAUGGGGAACUCUGGGAACUUGGGCGACCUCUAGAGGCGGACUGUGAACUGCAGCUUCUUGGGUUCGACACUGUUGAAGGAAAACUGGUAAAUACAGUCUGA
Molecule: long non-coding RNA, 1060 nt
Filed under: Oryzias javanicus (javanese ricefish)
Lineage: Eukaryota; Metazoa; Chordata; Actinopteri; Beloniformes; Adrianichthyidae
Description: lncRNA (ENSOJAG00000019834.1)
Source: RNAcentral